RNAcentral lists this small RNA (107 nucleotides) under Marmota monax (woodchuck). Lineage: Eukaryota; Metazoa; Chordata; Mammalia; Rodentia; Sciuridae. The record is from RNAcentral.
GUUGGGUGCAGUGGUGAGCACCUGUAAUCCCAGUCACUAGGGAGAUUGAGGUGGGAGAAUGGCAAGUUUGAGGCCAGCCUUGGCAACUUUGUGAGACCCUGUCUUAA